AUAUAUAUAUAUAUAUAUAGAGAGAGAGAGAGAAUUAGGCUACUAUACUAUCUAUAGUACCGAGCUCCGGUACUAUAGUGUUUGUUUUCGAUCUUAGGGCGUUCAAAUCAAUGAUCCACACCGUUAAAUAUGAUCUAGGGUAUAUGAAUUUCUUAGGAAUAAAAUUUUAGUUUUUUUCGAUAUCGUUUACUUAGUAAAUAAAUUAUAUCAAAUUGGACAGUGGAAAUUGAAUAAUCUUUAAAACUUGAGCAUAGGACUUUUAAAUUCAAGAUCAAGAAUGUUAACCUUAAUUUAUAUAGUUUAAAGUAUUUUCUAUCAAAAUUUGAAGAAAUUUAGAUUCUUCUACACAUGUUAAACUCCAAACUCGUCAUAAUAGCCAUUGAAAAUUGAUAAUUUUGAAAUAGUUUGAUUAUAAAGUAAACUAUGUCGAAAAAAUAUAAAAUUUUAUUUCUAGAAACUUUAAAUACCCUAGAUCAGUUUUAACGGUGUGGAUCGUUGAUUUGAACACCCUAAGAUCGAAAACCAACACUAUAGUACCGGAGCUCGGUACUAUAGAUAGUAUAGUAGCAUAUAU
RNAcentral lists this long non-coding RNA (574 nucleotides) under Ananas comosus (pineapple). Its description in RNAcentral is "long non-coding RNA (ACOM_LNC001575)". Lineage: Eukaryota; Viridiplantae; Streptophyta; Magnoliopsida; Poales; Bromeliaceae. The record is from RNAcentral.